CUUUUUAGGAUUCAGCAGUGUAGUGGCUGCAGCAGGUGAUCCUCAUCAUUAAUCAUCAUCAGCCUGGAGCAGGAGCAGGUGGUCUCUGCCAAUCAAGUCCCUCUCUCAACACAAUAUAGUCUGACGCCGUUCACCUCUCUGUGCCGGAUCGUGACACCACCAUUCUGGUUCCACCUGUUCCUGCUGGUUCCCACGGGCUCCAUCGUCAGCUCCAGUUCUGGUGCCACUCAGCGUCCUGGAAUUCACUCACCUGUGUUGUUUCUACCUCAUGGUGUCCUUCCACACCGUCCUGCUGCAGCAUCUCGACAACCACCACCUGGACACCGGCCUGCCAGCCCAGAACAACGCACCUCCACAGUUCGUUACCUAGUCCGAGCAUCUCGUAGCAGUUUUUGUGAGUUAAAUUCAAGUUUCGCAGUUUCGCGUACUCGUUAGUUUCCUGGCUUAGUUCCUAGUUCUUGUAACCGAGUGAAUUUGAGUUAUCUUUCUUGCCUGGGUGUUACCCAACGUGGGUUAGAAUUUUGUAGUGAGUCCUCCUCGCCAAUAGUAGUCGCCAUAGGUUGGCAAUCUGUUUUCGUUGACGUACUUCCUGUUUUAGUUCUCCGUUACGAUUUGUAAUGCCUCUAAGUUUUUGCAAAUAAACCCCUUAUUGCAUUCAGAACUCGUCUGUUCAUUUCCUGCACUUGAGCCAUUCAGAACCCGUAACAGUGUCAGAUUUUUGAAUUUUAUACGAUCAGCAACUGGAAGCCAGUGAAGCGAUCUGAACAGUGGGGUGGCACAAGCUGUUUGUGGCUGGUUGGAAACCAGACGUGUUGCUGUAUUCUGGAUCAUCUGCAGAGGUUUGACCAUGCAUGCAGGGAGGCCAGCCAGUAAAGAGUUGCAGUAGUCAAUGUGUGCUAUUACGAGUUGUGCUGCAUGUUCAGACAGGAAGGGUCUGAUCCUCCUGAUGCUGUACAGGAUGGAGCAACGGAGGCCACAUGGGACAUUUACCUAUAAAAACAGGUGCAUUUUAUACUUUCCAAACACUUUUCAGUGACGAUUGCUGCAAAAACAGUGUUAACAUUUCCUGGUUGGUCAGAACUAUUUGGUUGUUUUGUUAAUUGGAGGUAGCGGUCUGUUUUUUAGAACUUCAGCCACUGAGGAAUGGUUCUAAAAAAA
Amphiprion ocellaris (clown anemonefish) is the source of this 1158-nucleotide long non-coding RNA. Lineage: Eukaryota; Metazoa; Chordata; Actinopteri; Pomacentridae. The record is from Ensembl.